RNAcentral lists this unclassified non-coding RNA (1428 nucleotides) under Hevea brasiliensis (rubber tree). Lineage: Eukaryota; Viridiplantae; Streptophyta; Magnoliopsida; Malpighiales; Euphorbiaceae. The record is from RNAcentral.
CUUUUUUUUUUUUUUUUUAAAUCAAGGUCCAACGGACUGAGUUACAACUAAUGGGCUACAUAUUAGGAAGUAGCCUCUCUCUAAAGUAAUUCUUACCAUAAAGGUGAUAAAUGUCAGAAUUAAUAGAUAAAAAAAAACUCAAACUCAAGACCUUUCACUCCUUGCAUUUUAGAAGAGAAGAAAACCAAUCAGACUAACCUUGAUUGGCAGAGAGAUUCAACUUUCUACUGUUAGUGUCCACUUCUAAACAGUCUAAGCUCUGCCACUGGACUAAGACAAUAAUUCUUUUUUUUUCUAUUUAUUUAUUCCAAAUUCAUAAAAAUAAGAGAACUGUCUAUGCAUUUCCAACGAUCAUCAUUGUAAUGUUUUGAUCGUUUGAGGAACAACUGUCUGAAAACUUAUCCAUUCCUGGAAAGACGACUGAAGUAGUCUCUAUAUCAUAGGGGUAAUGGAGAUACCUAUAUAUGUGUAAAUAUUUUUUUGUCACCACACUUGAGCCUCUCUGUGCAAGAUACUUUUGCGUCCAUCAUGAAGCUAAACUUAGUUUGCAAUACUAGUGGCUCCAUUUUCGUUCCUGAUAUGCAUGGUUUUCAUAUGGAAAUCAGAUAUUGUGUUAUUAUCAUGUCUGUCAUUACUUCUACAUAUUAUUUCAGGUGGUUGAAAAUUAUAAAGACUUUGCAUUCUCAGAAUAUGCAAGAGUGGGAAGAGCACUGGCCCUUUAUGAGAUUGGAGACAAAGAAGAGGCAAUUGCUGAGAUGGAGGAUGUUUCCAUAUCAUUGAAGGGAUAUCCUGGUAUUUUCAAGCUUUUGUAUUUCCAGGCUACGUGAAAAUAGAAAUUUUAGCUGUAAUAUUCUCUCAUUUAUUUUUUAUUCUUGUUAUUCAAAAUUUUCAUUUGAAGUUUUCCCAUCUAACUAUAUGCUUCCUGUUGUGUUUGACAGAAGUACAUGCAGCUCUUGCAGCAGCCUUAUACGUGGACAAGCAUGCCCCCCUGUUAGCAGAAAAUCAGUUCACAAUUGCAACUCUGCUUGAUCCUCACUAUACGGACCUUUCAUAUGUAAAAGAAACUAAGCAUUGGCCUCCAAGUUUGAUCAGUUCUUUGCAACGGUUCAUCACACUUUCCUAGGGAGCUGAAUUGUACAUAAGAGACUUAUUGGAAUCCAUCAAUCUCUUGUUCGUUAGUUGCCCAGAAUAAAUCACUAGGGAAUUCAAGGUUUAAGUUACAAAGCAAUUGGUUUGCUAACUUUUACUGCCGUUUUAUACCUUUAUUCUUUUACCAUUUUGUUUCUUGGAGGGGUUUGUUGAGAGAGUGAUUACUGUGGUAUGAUCCUGUCUGUCUAUAUCUUAGACUACAAAACUGUGUAUGGCAAGUUAGCUUGUAAACAUAAUGUUCAAAUUUAAAAUAGCAAUACUCUUGUUGAUGGAUUAAUG